UGGGAAAUAUUGCACAAUGGAGGGAACUCUGAUGCAGCAACGCCGCGUGCGGGAUGACGGCCUUCGGGUUGUAAACCGCUUUCAGCCAUGACGAAGCUUUUGUGACGGUAGUGGUAGAAGAAGCACCGGCUAACUACGUGCCAGCAGCCGCGGUGAUACGUAGGGUGCGAGCGUUGUCCGGAAUUAUUGGGCGUAAAGAGCUUGUAGGCGGUUUGUCGCGUCGAUAGUGUAAACACGCAGCUUAACUGUGUGCCUGCUGUCGAUACGGGCUGACUAGAGGAGGGUAGGGGAGAAUGGAAUUCCCGGUGGAGCGGUGGAAUGCGCAGAUAUCGGGAGGAACACCAGUGGCGAAGGCGGUUCUCUGGACCUUUCCUGACGCUGAGAAGCGAAAGCGUGGGUAGCAAACAGG
This 409-nucleotide ribosomal RNA is filed under the name Fusobacteriota bacterium. RNAcentral's name for it is "Fusobacteria bacterium partial 16S ribosomal RNA". It matches the Rfam family "Bacterial small subunit ribosomal RNA", at positions 355 to 776 of the family's 1533-position model. Lineage: Bacteria; Fusobacteriati; Fusobacteriota. The record is from RNAcentral.